CAUUAAAGAGUUCUAUAACUCCCAAACCCAUGUGAACAUACCUAACGUUGCCUCGGCAGGUCGCACCUACCUUGUAGCACCCUACCCUGUAGGGCCUACCCGGGAGGUGCGGGUAAGCCUGCCGGCGGCCCACCAAACUCUGUUUGAUAUUGAAUUCUGAACCUAUAACUAAAUAAGUUAAAACUUUCAACAACGGAUCUCUUGGUUCUGGCAUCGAUGAAGAACGCAGCGAAAUGCGAUAAGUAAUGUGAAUUGCAGAAUUCAGUGAAUCAUCGAAUCUUUGAACGCAUAUUGCGCCCAUUAGUAUUCUAGUGGGCAGGACCGUUCGAGCGUCAUUUCAACCCUUAAGCCUUCGUUGCUUAGUGUUGGGAGCCUACGGCAACGUAGCUCCUCAAAGUUAGUGGCGGAGUUGGUUCACACUCUAGACGUAGUAAUUUUUUAUCUCGCCUAUUAGUUGGACUAAUCCCCUGCCGUAAAACCCCCAAUCUAUAUCAAGGUUGACCUCGAAUCGGUUCAGACAAACUCGCUAAAUUGAAGCAUCUUAGUCAGCGAAGGAAAAGAAACCAACAGGGAUUGCCCUAGUAACGGCGAGUGA
Molecule: ribosomal RNA, 595 nt
Filed under: fungal endophyte
Lineage: Eukaryota; Fungi
Description: eukaryotic LSU rRNA
Rfam family: 5.8S ribosomal RNA (bases 182-335)
Source: RNAcentral